CUGACUCAGUUAUGUUUUGUUUACUUGCACAUUGUUAUCCACUCUUACUAGCAUCUGUAGGAAAUAUUUGAAUUCUCCAGGAUAAUCGUGUUCCUCUGGAUGCAGCUUCUCGGCCAAGCGAUAUAGGGAUUCUGGGUACAGAGUUUGAUACUCUUCAUGGUUCAAUGUGUACCUUCCUCCGGCAUUUACAACUAUGUUGUCAACGGUUAGUUUGCCUAUUAAGUUUCCAUUUCUCAUCAUGUUGAUACAGUUCCAAAUGGUGUCCUUGCAUUUGUUUUUAAGAGAUCAAAUAACACAGUCAACCAAAAUUGAUUGCAUAAUAUGUAGAUAAAUUAUGAGACUUGUAAUAGGGUAAUAGAAUGAUAUGUUAAUUCUUUAUUAUCUUAUAUAUGUUAUAGGUUCUUGUCCAGAGUGUAGUUUUUUUGUUUAUUGUUUUUGUUUUGUUGAUUUGGUGCAGAUGGUGGUGGUGAUGAUGAGAGAUGUGUGUGGGGUUGGACACAAGAAGGUCUCUUGAGGUUCUGCAGAACUCGUCUCUGAUUUUUGCAGAGGAGAGGAUUCCUAUGAAGGACCCUAUUGGCGAGUUUCAUAAGUACACUGGUGGUUAGAAAAUAUCAGCAAUGAUCAUGACUGGGCUGUGAGUUAUUGUAAUCUUUAUAUUAGUUGCAACAAUCAUUUGUUUAGUGCUAAUUUCAAUUUCACAUUAUUAAGUACUAGAUUGUGUAAUUAAAAAUCUUCCAGUUCUCAUCAACAAAGGCAUGCGUACAUUAUGAUUAUACAUCAAUUAUGUAAGGCGACCGUGAUUGUAAUGCACGUAUCUUCUGUAUGAUAUUGAAAACUACAACUAUUAUCCAACUUUGUCUUCUAUCUUCUGCCUAAGAUUGUAAUGCAAGUCUACUUUUUGUCUACAACAACAGCUAUCAAUGUAAUACGCAAUGAAAUGUGUAAUGCAAUAAGCAGCUAUCAAUGUAAUGCGCAAUGUAAAACAAAUUGUUUUGGAAGAAAGAACAAACAACAGCAACCGAAAGAUUGCAAGAAGAAGUUGGUUUGGUAGUGAUGCACAAUUUACAUCUAUCAAGGUAAUGCACAAUUAAUGUAAGGCCUCGAAAGCUAGUUGCAUACCUGUAUAGUUGGUACACAGCCCUUGGAACCUUGUUCUUCGCAACAAGGUUUUCUGCAAAUGAAUCAUAAUUCUCCGGAUGGGGAAUUAUGUCCUCUCUCAAUGUCAACUGUUUCAUAGAGUAAAUUAAAUCAAUACGUGAAGGUGUUAUAAUGAUAAUGAGAUCAUCUUGGUUAUUAGGAACCUACCAGUUCCCCUGUAAAGACAGGGCAUCCAUACUUGAAUAAAAGGUUCAGACAUGACAUUUUGCAAUAAAUUUUAAUGGGCAGCAUUUCUUGAUUGAUGAUAUGCUCAAUAGUUUUUAACUUCUUUGAAAAAAUAAACAUUACAAUAUUUCAUUCAGUUUUUUUGGAGUUCUGAAGCUUUAAUUAACAGACCAAAAGUGCCUUAUGUCUGAAGUGUGGUUGUUGCUCUCAAAUUGCUACUAGCCUCCUACUGCCCUUCAUCCAAUUGCUACUAGCGUAAUGGAAUUCUCAUCUUCGUUAAAUUCAAGAAAAAAAUUCAGUUUAUUACCCUGAACUUUAGGUCUAAAAUCAGUUUGAUACCUCAUCUUUUUUUUUAAUCAAUUUCAUACCUAAACUUUCAAAAUGACAUCAAUCUCGACCAAAAUGACUAAAAUAGCCCUGAUUAAUCUUUUUACCCUCUCUCUCCCUGCCUCCAAAUCCACCACAUGGCCGGCGCCGGCAUCCACCCCUACCACCAGCAAUGGGCCCCGGCGGCAGCCCCUCCUCCUCCCCCGGCCGUCGCCGCUGCCAUUCUUAACUCUGAGUGGGUAAAAAGAUUAACCAGGGCUAUUUUAGUCAUUUUAGUCGAGAUUGAUGUCAUUUUGAAAGUUUAGGUAUGAAACUGAUUAAAAAAAAGAUGAGGUAUCAAAAUGAUUUUAGACCUAAAGUUCAGGAUAGUAAAAUGAAAUUAUCUCUAAAUUCAAUGCUUUGCUCAAUCAUGAAUAUAUAUACCAAAAGAACUACUCUUGGGAACAUGACUUCUAUCAUUUCUACUAUCUCUCUCCGGUUGAAAAAAUAUACAAUUACAUUGGGUGGCACAUCUGCAGCAGCUUUGGCAACCAUAUAUUUCCUCUGCUCCGGGUUGUCAAUACCACAUGAUUCAUAAUCUUCAAUAACUUUUUCUUCAACCUUGUCUCUUUUUUUUAGGUACUUGUCACGUUCUUCUCUAUUAUGUCUUUAUAUAGUUUCAUUCAAAUGUUGAAAGACAAACCUGUAGUAAUAGAUGAAUCUCUUACCGUUCUUGAGGUACUCCUCUCCAUAUUCAUUGUAGACAACUUUGAAGAAUUUGGCUGCUUCUAUCUUUCGUUUAACGACAUCAUCUAUAUUUGUUUCUAUGCUCAAGGUCGGAAUAUAUUAUUCAAGGUCUGCCCAUAUUCCUUGGUAGGUUUUUGCUCUCUGUGAAAACAUAGGAUAUGCAUGGCACAUGAUCUCCUAUAUUUCUUUGUCUGUUAAUAGUGAAGGAUGAUAGUAUAAUUGCCGAAGUUUGUUCCUGCAUGCAAGUGAGAAUGUGAAAGCCAAGAUAAUAUAUUGAACUAUUAUUGUUUGUUUACGCUUUUUUAUAUUAUGCUAAACACUUUAAAUGAAAGUGAUUAUGAUUAUUGAAAUAUGCAAUUGUUAUGGCAAUUAACGUUCCUAGCUGACUCAGUUAUGUUUUGUUUACUUACACAUCGUUAUCCACUCUUACUAGCAUCUGUAGGAAAUGUUUGAAUUCUCCAGGAUAAUCGUGUUCCUCUGGAUGCAGCUUCUCGACCAAGCGAUAUAGGGAUUCUGGGUACAGAGUUUGAUACUCUUCAUGGUUCAAUGUGUACCUUCCUCCGGCAUUUACAACUAUAUUGUCAACGGUUAGUUUGCCUAUUAAGUUUCCAUUUCUCAUCAUGUUGACGCAGUUCCGAAUGGUGUCCUUGCAUUUUUUUUAGGAGAUCAAAUAACACAAUUAACCAAAAUUGAUUUUUUCCAAGACAAAGUGCAUAAUAUGUAGAUAAAUUAUGAGACUUGUAAUAGGGUAGCAGAAUGAUAUGUUAAUUCUUUAUUAUCUUAUAUAUGUUAUACUUUCUUGUCCAAAGUGUGGUUUUUUGUUUUUUUGUUUUUGUUUUGAGUUUUGUUGAUUUGGUACAGAUUGUGGUGGUGAUGAUGAGAGAUGUGUGUGGGGUUGGACACAAGAAGGUCUCUUGAGGUUCUGCAUAACUCGUCUCUGAUUUUUGCAGAGGAGAGGAUUCCUAUGAAGGACCCUAUUGACGAGUUUCAUAAGUACAUUGGUGGUUAGAAAAUAUCAGCAAUGAUCAUUAUUGGGCUGUGAGUUCUUGUAAUCUUUAUAUUAGUUGCAACAAUCAUUUGUUUAGUGCUAAUUUCAAUUUCGAUUCAC
Molecule: long non-coding RNA, 3484 nt
Filed under: Fragaria vesca (wild strawberry)
Lineage: Eukaryota; Viridiplantae; Streptophyta; Magnoliopsida; Rosales; Rosaceae
Description: long non-coding RNA (FVES_LNC003905)
Source: RNAcentral